Molecule: ribosomal RNA, 425 nt
Filed under: uncultured bacterium
Lineage: Bacteria
Description: partial 16S ribosomal RNA
Rfam family: Bacterial small subunit ribosomal RNA
Source: RNAcentral
GUUAGGAAUAUUGGACAAUGGGCGCAAGCCUGAUCCAGCCAUGCCGCGUGAGCGAUGAAGGCCUUCGGGUUGUAAAGCUCUUUAGCCGAUGAUUAUAAUGACUGUAGUCGGAAAAUAAGCCCCGGCUAACUUCGUGCCAGCAGCCGCGGUAAUACGAAGGGGGCGAGCGUUAUUCGGAAUCACUGGGCGUAAAGCGUGCGUAGGCGGCUUUGCAAGUUGGGAGUGAAAGCCCAGGGCUCAACCCUGGAAUUGCUCUCAAAACUGCAAGGCUCGAAUUCGGGAGAGGAUAGCGGAAUUGUCAGUGUAGCAGUGAAAUGCGUAGAUAUUGACAGGAACACCAGUGGCGUAAGCGGCUAUCUGGACCGAUAUUGACGCUGAGGAACGAAAGCGUGGGGAUCAAACAGGAUUAGAAACCCCAGUAGUCC